RNAcentral lists this ribosomal RNA (253 nucleotides) under uncultured bacterium. Its description in RNAcentral is "partial 16S ribosomal RNA". It matches the Rfam family "Bacterial small subunit ribosomal RNA", at positions 524 to 776 of the family's 1533-position model. The record is from RNAcentral.
UACGUAGGGUGCAAGCGUUAUCCGGAAUUAUUGGGCGUAAAGAGCUCGUAGGCGGUUUGUCGCGUCUGCUGUGAAAACCCGAGGCUCAACCUCGGGCCUGCAGUGGGUACGGGCAGACUAGAGUGCGGUAGGGGAGAACGGAAUUCCCGGUGUAGCGGUGAAAUGCGCAGAUAUCGGGAGGAACAUCAGUGGCGAAGGCGGUCUGCUGGGCCGUUGCUGACGCUGAGGCGCGACAGCGUGGGGAGCAAACAGG